ACUCAAAUGAAUUGACGGGGGCCCGCACAAGCGGUGGAGCAUGUUGUUUAAUACGUCACUAACCGUAGAACCUUACCAGGUCUUGACAUCCUAGGAAUCUCGGGGAAACUCGGGAGUGCCCGCAAGGGAGCCUAGAGACAGGUGUUGCAUGGCUGUCGUCAGCUCGUGUCGUGAGAUGUUGGGUUAAGUCCCGCAACGAGCGCAACCCUCAUCCAGUGUUGCUACCAGGUUAAGCUGGGCACUCUCUGGAAACUGCCCGUGCAAGCGGGAGGAAGGUGGGGAUGACGUCAAGUCAGCAUGGCCCUUACGACCUGGGCUACAAACAUGCUACAAUGGCGCGUACAGAGGGCUGCAAGCCUGCAAGGGUGAGCCAAUCCCAAAAAGCGCGUCUCAGUUCGGAUCGGGGUCUGCAACUCGACCCCGUGAAGUCGGAAUCGCUAGUAACCGCAGGUCAGCUAUACUGCGGUGAAUACGUUCCCGGGCCUUGUACACACCGCCCGU
Molecule: ribosomal RNA, 501 nt
Filed under: uncultured bacterium
Lineage: Bacteria
Description: partial 16S ribosomal RNA
Rfam family: Bacterial small subunit ribosomal RNA
Source: RNAcentral